AUUGAACGCUGGCGGCAUGCCUUACACAUGCAAGUCGAACGGUAACGGGUCCUUCGGGAUGCCGACGAGUGGCGAACGGGUGAGUAAUAUAUCGGAACGUGCCCAGUAGUGGGGGAUAACUGCUCGAAAGAGCAGCUAAUACCGCAUACGACCUGAGGGUGAAAGGGGGGGAUCGCAAGACCUCUCGCUAUUGGAGCGGCCGAUAUCAGAUUAGCUAGUUGGUGGGGUAAAGGCCUACCAAGGCAACGAUCUGUGGUUGGUCUGAGAGGACGACCAGCCACACUGGGACUGAGACACGGCCCAGACUCCUACGGGAGGCAGCAGUGGGGAAUUUUGGACAAUGGGCGCAAGCCUGAUCCAGCAAUGCCGCGUGCAGGAAGAAGGCUUUCGGGUUGUAAACUGCUUUUGUCAGGGAAGAAAUCUUCUGGGCUAAUACCCCGGGAGGAUGACGGUACCUGAAGAAUAAGCACCGGCUAACUACGUGCCAGCCGCCGCGGUAA
Molecule: ribosomal RNA, 500 nt
Filed under: uncultured bacterium
Lineage: Bacteria
Description: partial 16S ribosomal RNA
Rfam family: Bacterial small subunit ribosomal RNA
Source: RNAcentral